UAUUGCGCAAUGGACGAAAGUCUGACGCAGCGACGCCGCGUGAGGGAUGAAGGUUUUCGGAUCGUAAACCUCUGUCAGGAGGGAAGAAAGCGCAUGGCGCCAAUCAGCCAUGCGUUGACGGUACCUCCAAAGGAAGCGCCGGCUAACUCCGUGCCAGCAGCCGCGGUAAUACGGAGGGCGCGAGCGUUAAUCGGAAUUACUGGGCGUAAAGCGCGCGUAGGCUGUUGUGUAAGUUGGGGGUGAAAUCCCACGGCUCAACCGUGGAACAGCCCUUGAUACUGCGCGACUUGAAUCCGGGAGAGGGUGGCGGAAUUCCAGGUGUAGGAGUGAAAUCCGUAGAUAUCUGGAGGAACAUCAGUGGCGAAGGCGGCCACCUGGACCGGUAUUGACGCUGAGGCGCGAAAGCGUGGGGAGCAAACAGG
Molecule: ribosomal RNA, 422 nt
Filed under: uncultured bacterium
Lineage: Bacteria
Description: bacterial SSU rRNA
Rfam family: Bacterial small subunit ribosomal RNA
Source: RNAcentral